GUGCCAGCCGCCGCGGUAAUACGGAGGGGGCCAGCGUUGUUCGGAAUUAUUGGGCGUAAAGGGCGCGUAGGUGGCCAUGCAAGUCGGAGGUGAAAUCCCUCGGCUCAACCGAGGAACUGCCUCCGAUACUGCACGGCUUGAGUCCCGGAGAGGGUGGUGGAAUUCCCAGUGUAGCGGUGAAAUGCGUAGAUAUUGGGAGGAACACCGGUGGCGAAGGCGGCCACCUGGACGGGUACUGACGCUGAUGCGCGAAAGCGUGGGGAGCAAACAGGAUUAGAUACCCCCGUAGUCC
RNAcentral lists this ribosomal RNA (292 nucleotides) under uncultured bacterium. RNAcentral's name for it is "partial 16S ribosomal RNA". It matches the Rfam family "Bacterial small subunit ribosomal RNA", at positions 505 to 796 of the family's 1533-position model. The record is from RNAcentral.